CAAGAUGGUCGUUGGCCGAAAGAGAGAUGUGAUUUUGGCUUGAUCCGUCGUUUUAUACUGAACUCUCUCUAAAGAGGUCUCCCUUCCUACCUUUCGGAAAGGUGUAGGGCAAGAGUAGGAUCCGCCCCCUUUUGUUUUCAGGCAAAGAAGUAAAGGCAGCAGCCUCCUCUUCCGUCUCAUUUCAGGUCGAGUCGCACAAGCGUCGAGUUGUGUCCCGCUCAAAGGUCCUCCUUUCUUUUCCCAAAAGUGCCUCGUUUCCAUUUUUAUUUUCAACUUCUACUAGCUGAAACAUUCUUGGUAAAUCUUUUUUAUUUCAUCGAGUGUAUCGGAAGACCCCAUUUUUAGAGAAGAGGAUUAUUAAUUCAAUCGAGUCGUGCUGACCGCGUUUCGGUGAACAAUUUUUGAAUUUUCAUUUUUUCCAUUGUCAGGUAAAAUCAUCACGUUUUUCUGUCUUGCCGGUUAGAAUUUAGAUCAGCCUGGGAAAAGUGUUGCACAAUUAGUAAAUAGGCAUUUGUUAGUGAUAUGUGUGUGUGCUACGUCUUCCUCGUGGACGAUCGCCCCCAACAACGGUCUCUUUUAUUAUUAUUUUUUACCUUUUUCUAUCCAUUGAUGUGCGUGUCACCGAAGCGAUUGGAACGCACGGUCGGUAGCGCGUGCUGUGUGAGUUGUGCACGACAUAGCUCGAAAAAAGGCAAAAAUCGUGUCGUGGUCGUCAUGGCGCUGCUUUUUUCUUUGGUUAUCUAGCUGUAUGAGUGUUAGAAGACGUCAUAAAGCUAGGUUACCAAAGUUAAGAACUGCCCCUCUUCAUCGGCUAUUUUCUCGUUUCAUAUUUGUGUGUAUCGUAAUCAGUUUUUCUUGGAAGAUUGCAAGAUAAAUUGACCUCGUGUUGGUUUCUCAAUACCUGUUUGUGUGUUGUAAGUUUUGGUAGAGGUUUUUUCGCCAGAACCGAAAUGGUAAUUUGAUGAGUGUUGGUUGGGUUCCCUUUUGGCUGGCGCCACCGGGAUUUUUUUGACGUUUUUCUUGAUUUAUAAUUUUUUCUUGUUUAUUUGUUUUCUCUACGACUUGUCAGUUGCUCCUGCCAUCCGUAAUCGUCACCACAGCCGUGUAAAACACUAAGCGGAUGCGAUCUACAGCCGCUUGUUUUUCAUCUCAACUAUUGUCAAGGUGAAUUGGACAAGACACAAUCGAACCGAGUUGUCAGAUCACGUUGUUUUUUCUCGGAAUGAGUUGGGCGGCUACUUUGGGAAGUUGUGGCGCUGUCUAUUGGUUUAAAACCAUCUACACAACAAGCCAAAUAAGAAAAGGAAAACCGGUGAAUUCGACCUCGGACGUUCAACCUUCGUUUAUGGAAAAAAAGAACAAGUGGCCCAAAACUCUUUUGGUAUUUUGGGUGACUUUUUUUUUAAAACACAGUUCUAUUUGAGUCAUUGCCGAAUACCCGAUUUAUAUGUAAAAAAAUAACAUGUGCUAGUUGGUUGCCCACGCACGCGGCCACGUCAUGGCACUUUCUACUUAAAAGGGCGGCCCCUGACCGACCCGUGAGGGCAUCGGGAAGAACCACUGAACGUGUGCAGAGUUUUAUUAUAUAAAACGUCGUGACUGGCGUUUUUAUACAUGUGUGUGUGUGUGCGCAAUCUACUUAGGGAAUUUGUCUUUUUGUUUUAUCUGACGAAAUUUGUGUGUGAGAUUGUGUCUCAACCGGAUAUAUGGAGAAUUUUUUGUUUUCUUCCUCAGUCAUUGGAAAUUAUUGGUCAAUUUGCUUAGGGUUUCCAUUUUUUAAGGAAAUUUUGACACGUCACGACUUUCCCUCCUAGACUUGUCUUAAUGUAGGGAAAAGAUAAAUGUCAUUCGACACUGUUGGUUGAGUGUGUCUCCCCCAUCCUAAAAAAGAGAAAAAUUUGGUUUUUUGACUUUUUUGAAUGGGAGACGCGCUACCGGACAUUUGAUUGGACUCUAGAGAUAACAAUAAAAAUUGAAAAGAAACUCGGAGAGAAGUAAAAUCCUAACAACUAGGGACUAACCCCCCAACCCUAGAAAAAGUGAUUAUAUUUCUUCUUCUUCUUCUCCUCCCUUUUUACAUUCCUAGAAGAACCUUCAGGUCACAUUUUGAAUGGUCCCUGUUGUUAUUUCUACCUGACUUCACCUGUGGGAUCAGCGUCCUUCAGACCCAACAGACUCUCUUGUCUGACGGUGUCUACGACAACUCGGCCGCUACAGCCCCCUCGACUCCUGGUAAGGGGGAGGAUUUGUGUUACCUUUGUGGCUUUUCUAUUCCCUUUUUUUAUUUCGGCGAGAAAUGCCAGCAAAGUGAAAGUCUCGGCUUUUUUCUAUCAGAUUAGAAUGGAAUAAAAACGAGUCAUUUGAAGAAGAAGAAACUCUUCUUCUGAUUACAAACAGCUUAAAGUUUUGCUUAUUAUAGCCACUUAACACACGAUGAUGUCACUGAUGUAUUCCCGAAAUUUGAAACUGGCCGUCUGCCGACUUUCUAGACGUGCACAUCUUGUGUUCACAUUUUAUUUUGAAAGCGGCAAACAACCUGGAGGAAAAGAGUAUUUGUGCUUGUCAUUGGGAUUAGUUUAACCUGGAUAAGUACGAACACGAGAGUAGAAAACAACGUGAGGGAUCAAAUGUAUUUUGUCUUUUUCAAUAUUUAUUCACAUACACGUACAUGAAAGAAAUGCAUCCAUCAUCUUUUUUUCUCUCGUUUUUUCGGGCCUGUUCGACAGUCUCAAAAGUUUUAUUGGUUUGUGAGACGCGGAAGGGAUUUGCCGAAAAAGUAACAAGAGUAGAGAAACAAAAAAGAAAUUUUUGUGUCGUGUAGUAUACCGGUACAUACAAGUUGUUGCUUAAGGUGUCGUAAUAAUCUGAGAAAACAAGAACUCUGUGUGGGUGUUGGGUAAGA
This is a long non-coding RNA of Daphnia pulex (common water flea), 2902 nucleotides long. RefSeq lists it as uncharacterized. The transcript is spliced from 2 exons. The record is from RefSeq and is a predicted model, not a curated record. Lineage: Eukaryota; Metazoa; Arthropoda; Branchiopoda; Diplostraca; Daphniidae.